RNAcentral lists this ribosomal RNA (481 nucleotides) under uncultured bacterium. Its description in RNAcentral is "bacterial SSU rRNA". It matches the Rfam family "Bacterial small subunit ribosomal RNA", at positions 29 to 510 of the family's 1533-position model. The record is from RNAcentral.
AUUGAACGCUGGCGGCAUGCCUUACACAUGCAAGUCGAACGGCAGCACGGGAGCAAUCCUGGUGGCGAGUGGCGAACGGGUGAGUAAUAUAUCGGAACGUGCCCAGUAGUGGGGGAUAGCCCGGCGAAAGCCGGAUUAAUACCGCAUACGACCUGUGGGUGAAAGCGGGGGAUCGCAAGACCUCGCGCUAUUGGAGCGGCCGAUAUCAGAUUAGCUUGUUGGUGGGGUAAAAGCCCACCAAGGCGACGAUCUGUAGCUGGUCUGAGAGGACGACCAGCCACACUGGGACUGAGACACGGCCCAGACUCCUACGGGAGGCAGCAGUGGGGAAUAUUGCACAAUGGGGGAAACCCUGAUGCAGCAACGCCGCGUGGAGGAAGAAGGCGUUCAGCGUUGUAAACUGCUUUUAAUGUGGAAGAAGAGUCAUUCUGCGGGAUGAUGUGACGGUACACAUGGAAUAAGCACCGGUAACUCCGUGCCC